AUACUUACCUGGACGGGUUCAAUGGGCAAUCAAGAAGGCCCAUGGCCUAGGCUGGUGACCUCCAUUGCACUUUGGACGGGUGCCCGCCUAAGAUCGGCCCAAUUGAGCCUACGUCAUAAUUAGUGGUAGAGGGUGCCGUAAAAAAAAUCCCUA
RNAcentral lists this small nuclear RNA (153 nucleotides) under Nicotiana sylvestris (wood tobacco). RNAcentral's name for it is "U1 spliceosomal RNA". It matches the Rfam family "U1 spliceosomal RNA". From Rfam's summary of the family: U1 is a small nuclear RNA (snRNA) component of the spliceosome (involved in pre-mRNA splicing). Lineage: Eukaryota; Viridiplantae; Streptophyta; Magnoliopsida; Solanales; Solanaceae. The record is from Rfam by way of RNAcentral.